RNAcentral lists this ribosomal RNA (440 nucleotides) under uncultured bacterium. RNAcentral's name for it is "partial 16S ribosomal RNA". It matches the Rfam family "Bacterial small subunit ribosomal RNA", at positions 338 to 795 of the family's 1533-position model. The record is from RNAcentral.
CCUACGGGAGGCAGCAGUAGGGAAUAUUGCUCAAUGGGGGAAACCCUGAAGCAGCAACGCCGCGUGGAGGAUGAAGGUUUUCGGAUUGUAAACUCCUUUUUUUAUAGAAGAUAAUGACGGUAUCUAACGAAUAAGCACCGGCUAACUCCGUGCCAGCAGCCGCGGUAAUACGGAGGGUGCCAGCGUUACUCGGAAUCACUGGGCGUAAAGAGCGCGUAGGCGGGUUAGCAAGUCAGAUGUGAAAUCCUAUGGCUUAACCAUAGAACUGCAUUUGAAACUGUUAGUCUAGAGUAUGGGAGAGGUAGGUGGAAUUCGUGGUGUAGGGGUAAAAUGCGUAGAGAUCAAGAGGAAUACUCAUUGCGAAGGCGACCUGCUAGACCAUAACUGACGCUGAUGCGCGAAAGCGUGGGGAGCAAACAGGAUUAGAUACCCGGGUAGUC